GAUGAACGCUAGCGGCAGGCUUAACACAUGCAAGUCGAGGGGCAGCGGGGAGUAGCAAUACUCCGCCGGCGACCGGCGCACGGGUGCGUAACGCGUAUGCAACCUACCUUUAACAGGGGCAUAACACUGAGAAAUUGGUACUAAUUCCCCAUAACAUUCGAGAAGGCAUCUUCUUGGGUUAAAAACUCCGGUGGUUAAAGAUGGGCAUGCGUUGUAUUAGCUAGUUGGUGAGGUAACGGCUCACCAAGGCAACGAUACAUAGGGGGACUGAGAGGUUAACCCCCCACAUUGGUACUGAGACACGGACCAAACUCCUACGGGAGGCAGCAGUGAGGAAUAUUGGUCAAUGGACGCAAGUCUGAACCAGCCAUGCCGCGUGCAGGAAGACGGCUCUAUGAGUUGUAAACUGCUUUUGUACUAGGGUAAACGCUUCUACGUGUAGGAGCCUGAAAGUAUAGUACGAAUAAGGAUCGGCUAACUCCGUGCCAGCAGCCGCGGUAAUACGGAGGAUCCAAGCGUUAUCCGGAUUUAUUGGGUUUAAAGGGUGCGUAGGCGGUUUGAUAAGUUAGAGGUGAAAUACCGGGGCUCAACUCCGGAACUGCCUCUAAUACUGUUGAACUAGAGAGUAGUUGCGGUAGGCGGAAUGUAUGGUGUAGCGGUGAAAUGUUUAGAGAUCAUACAGAACACCGAUUGCGAAGGCAGCUUACCAAACUAUAUCUGACGUUGAGGCACGAAAGCGUGGGGAGCAAACAGGAUUAGAUACCCUGGUAGUCCACGCAGU
RNAcentral lists this ribosomal RNA (781 nucleotides) under uncultured bacterium. RNAcentral's name for it is "bacterial SSU rRNA". It matches the Rfam family "Bacterial small subunit ribosomal RNA", at positions 28 to 803 of the family's 1533-position model. The record is from RNAcentral.